RNAcentral lists this microRNA precursor (124 nucleotides) under Theobroma cacao (cacao). RNAcentral's name for it is "miR156f stem-loop (tcc-MIR156f)". Its record names the gene tcc-MIR156f. Lineage: Eukaryota; Viridiplantae; Streptophyta; Magnoliopsida; Malvales; Malvaceae. The record is from miRBase by way of RNAcentral.
UACGGAUGAGGACGCUUUUGUUGACAGAAGAUAGAGAGCACAACUGAACAUACCCAGAAAAGGCCUGUGUAUGAGCAGCCUUGUGCUCUCUUUUCUUCUGUCAAUGGAAUUUUCUGUCAGAGUU